RNAcentral lists this ribosomal RNA (564 nucleotides) under uncultured bacterium. Its description in RNAcentral is "partial 16S ribosomal RNA". It matches the Rfam family "Bacterial small subunit ribosomal RNA", at positions 355 to 1375 of the family's 1533-position model. The record is from RNAcentral.
UGGGGAAUAUUGGACAAUGGGCGCAAGCCUGAUCCAGCCAUGCCGCGUGAGUGAUGAAGGCCUUAGGGUUGUAAAGCUCUUUCGCCGGUGAAGAUAAUGACGGUAACCGGAGAAGAAGCCCCGGCUAAACUUCGUGCCAGCAGCCGCGGUAAUACGAAGGGGGCUAGCGUUGCUCGGAAUCACUGGGCGUAAAGCGCACGUAGGCGGAUCGUUAAGUCAGGGGUGAAAUCCUGGAGCUCAACUCCAGAACUGCCCGUUGAUACUGGCCGAUCUCGAGUUCGAGAGAGGUUGGUGGAACUCCGAGUGUAGAGGUGAAAUUCGUAGAUAUUCGGAAGAACACCAGUGGCGAAGGCGGCCAACUGGCUCGAUACUGACGCUGAGGUGCGAAAGCGUGGGGAGCAAAACAGGAUUAGAUACCCUGGUAGUCCACGCCGUAAACGAUGGAUGCUAGCCGUUGGGGGGUUUACCUCUCAGUGGCGCAGCUAACGCCUUAAGCAUCCCGCCUGGGGAGUACGGUCGCAAGAUUAAAACUCAAAGGAAUUGACGGGGUCAUAGCUGUUUCCU